AUGCCUUCCACAGAAUCGGCCGCCGGCGUGGCCUGGGACCGCCGGCGUGAGCUGCAGGCGUUCGACGACACCAAGGCGGGCGUCAAGGGCCUCGUGGACGCCGGCGUCACGGCCCUCCCGCCCAUCUUCCGCCACUCGCCGGAGUCCCUGGAGAGCAUCACGUCCUCAAACCAUGUCGCGGGGGCCAUCCCGACCGUCGACCUAGCGGCCCCGCGACGCGAGGACGCGGUCGCCCUGGUGCGGCACGCGGCCAGGACGGUGGGCUUCUUUCAGGUGGUCAACCAUGGCGUGCCGGCCGAGCUCAUGGCCGGCAUGCUCGAGGGGGUGCGCCGGUUCAACGAGGGACCCGCCGAGGCGAAGCAGGCCAUCUACAGCAGGGACCAAGCUCGCAAGGUGCGUUUCGCCUCCAACUUCGACCUCUUCUCGUCGGCGGCGGCCAACUGGCGCGACACCCUCUUCUUCCACCUCGCUCCGGACCCGGCACCUUCCGAAGAGCUGCCCGAGGCUGUCAGGGAUGUGGUCACGGAGUACGGCCACGCGGUGACCAAGGUGGGGCUGUCCGUGCUGGAGCUGCUGUCGGAGUCCCUUGGCCUGAGCAGCGACCACCUGCGCGACAUGGACUGCGCGGAGAACCUCAACGCCGUGUGCCAAUACUACCCACCGUGUCCGGAGCCGUAUCUCACUUGGGGCACCAAGAGGCACACCGACCCGGGCUUCCUCACCGUCCUCCUGCAAGACGGCAUGGGCGGCCUCCAGGUGCUCGUCGACGGCAAGACCUGGGUGGAUGUCCCUCCCGUGCCCGGCGCUUUCAUCAUCAACAUCGGCGACCUUCUUCAGGCAUGCAUAUCAACCCUCCAUCUCCAUCCAUCUCGCUAUAAGUUGUACUUCCUCCAUCCCGAAGUACUUGUCGGAGAAAUAAUAUAUACAUGCAACUCUGAUGAUGUGCAGCUCGUCAGCAAUGACCAGUUCAGGAGNNNNNNNNNNAGCUGA
RNAcentral lists this ribosomal RNA (990 nucleotides) under Triticum aestivum (bread wheat). Its description in RNAcentral is "partial small subunit ribosomal RNA". The record is from RNAcentral. Lineage: Eukaryota; Viridiplantae; Streptophyta; Magnoliopsida; Poales; Poaceae.